Canis lupus familiaris (dog) is the source of this 1982-nucleotide long non-coding RNA. RefSeq lists it as uncharacterized. The record is from RefSeq and is a predicted model, not a curated record. NCBI's taxonomy places the organism in Eukaryota, Metazoa, Chordata, Mammalia, Carnivora, Canidae. The transcript is spliced from 2 exons.
AGAAGGAGAGAGAAGGAGAGGAAGAGAGGAGACACAGAAGAGAGGAUUCAUUUUGGGGUCUCCCCUCUUUUAUUCCCCUUUUCCUCCUCCGCCUUUUCUAACCAGUUCCUGGAUCUCACAAGUGAUCCUUGUUUUCCUUCCUCUCUGUCUUUACCUCUUUUCAUCUUUUUUUCCCUCUUCUCCCCUCUCCCCUUCCCUCUCACUUCUGUCCACCUCUCCUUCCCCCAAACCCCUCCCGCAUGCCCUCGCCCCCCUCCCAAAGCCCAGCUCCGAGUCCUCGCCCCCGGACCCGGACCCGGCCCAUUGUUAGCCGGCUUUUCCAGGGCAGCUAGGCAUCUGGCUCCAGAGGGAAGCGGAAGACGGGAGGCGGCUCUCAAAGCUUCCCAACCUUCCUGUGCCAUCAACUUUUCAGGAGUGGCUCGAGAAAGAUAGAUGCAUGUGCCAAGCAAGACAACAACCCCAGGUCCAUGUGUCCAAAUCCCUGUAGCCAGGGCGGCGGCCAACCAAAGCAAUGCCACCCGGAGCAGGCUCCUGCGGCUCCUGGCAUUCUGGGUUUCAUACCCGUAGGGCUCGGGUGCGGAGCCCAAGAACAGAUGUGGGAGAAGCAUCUCUGGCUGUGAGAGAAACACCCAGAUCUCUACAGCUGCCUGGCUUUGCAUCUUCUGAGCCUUUCUCUUUUUCUUAAAAUGUGAGAAGGUUUCCUAAAAGCAGCUCCUGUGGACCCAAGAGAUACCCCCAAAAUGGCUCCAGUGCCUAUUUCUAAAGAUCACCUGAGGGAGCUUCUCAGGGGAAAGAUAGAGGCCAUGAUGAUGGAUAUUUUGGAUUGCAAACAAAAUGGCGACAUUUUUCACCUCCGUCUCUGAAAGAUACAAUCCAGGGAGAAGGAGGAUUUAUUUCUCACAUCAGAUGCUUCUGAUCCUGAGACGCAGGUGGUUCCUCAUUUCCAAUUUAGAAAGGAGAUGUUGAUGGGGAUACAGUUCUGAGGUUUUCACUUUCUGAAUUUGGUUCCUUCUCCAAGCAAUUCUUUACUCUGAAGGUAAAAAUAUUUCCCUUUCCUGUGCCUGCUUUUGCCCCUGCCAGCCAGUCAGUAGGCAGCCCUAUCCUAAAUCCAGGAGUAGAAAUGUAAUGUUUAGCUCUUGCAGCAUCAAAUGAAAGAAGUACUUAUAAAAUUGCAUUUUUAUUAGAAAGAUACCAAUCUCCUUUCUCUCUCCUCCUCCCCCUGGGGCCAUAAAAGGAGAGCCAGGAGGGAUGAAGGAGAGGAAAUAAAUCCAGAGGAUGCCAAAUCCUAAAUUCCGGGAGGAAGCCGACGCUGGGAGUCUAGCAGUCCAGGGCAGGGCUGGGGAGGCUCCUGGGAGGUCAGCCUUUCUUUUGCUGGAGACCUGGGCGAGGUUCUGUCUCCUUCAGGCCGCCUAGCUCCCAGGGGCGAUAUUAGGACUGAUUCUUUCCUCCUGGAGCGAUGAGGGACGGAAAAAGCAUCCACAGAGAGUCCGGUUGCUCCAGAAAAUGCUCGGCAUCCUCCGCGAGGCUGGUGAUGCCCAGGGUUGGGGCACUGGCUGGUCCGCUUUGACCUGGAGGAAGAUCUUGGAGAAGACGGCCCAGCGUCACUCCCCGGCGGGGCCUCUCGGGCACCUGUGCGGCCCCGCCGCGCUUCGGGCCGGCUGCCUUUUGUUUCCCCCGCACUCGGCGCUCCGCAGCCCCUGCGCCCGCGCAGGCCCCUCGGCGGCAGCUGGGAACCAGGCAGCCCAGCGGGCUGGCGCUCGGCGCGUCCAGAGCCGCCCGCCUCCAGGAGCUCCUGCAGCCUUCCCAGGAAUUGCCGUGCUCCCAGGCGCGCCGCCUGGCCAGGCCCCACUCCGGGCUGGAAGGCUUGCCGCGGCCUGCUCAGCCACUUCGCCUCUGCCUGGAUUUCACGCAGACCCCCUUCUUCGGCCAAAGAACCCCUUCUGAACACGGAUAUUAUUCAGAAUAAAAACUUUAUUUAUUUA